Molecule: ribosomal RNA, 800 nt
Filed under: uncultured bacterium
Lineage: Bacteria
Description: bacterial SSU rRNA
Rfam family: Bacterial small subunit ribosomal RNA
Source: RNAcentral
AGAGUUUGAUCAUGGCUCAGAGCGAACGCUGGCGGCAGGCCUAACACAUGCAAGUCGAACGAACUCUUCGGAGUUAGUGGCGGACGGGUGAGUAACACGUGGGAACGUGCCUUUAGGUUCGGAAUAACUCAGGGAAACUUGUGCUAAUACCGAAUGUGCCCUUCGGGGGAAAGAUUUAUCGCCUUUAGAGCGGCCCGCGUCUGAUUAGCUAGUUGGUAAGGUAAUGGCUUACCAAGGCUACGAUCAGUAGCUGGUCUGAGAGGAUGACCAGCCACAUUGGGACUGAGACACGGCCCAAACUCCUACGGGAGGCAGCAGUGGGGAAUCUUGCGCAAUGGGCGAAAGCCUGACGCAGCCAUGCCGCGUGUAUGAUGAAGGUCUUAGGAUUGUAAAAUACUUUCACCGGUGAAGAUAAUGACUGUAGCCGGAGAAGAAGCCCCGGCUAACUUCGUGCCAGCAGCCGCGGUAAUACGAAGGGGGCUAGCGUUGCUCGGAAUUACUGGGCGUAAAGGGAGCGUAGGCGGACAUUUAAGUCAGAGGUGAAAUCCCGGAGCUUAACUUCGGAACUGCCUUUGAUACUGGGUGUCUUGAGUGUGAGAGAGGUAUGUGGAACUCCGAGUGUAGAGGUGAAAUUCGUAGAUAUUCGGAAGAACACCAGUGGCGAAGGCGACAUACUGGCUCAUUACUGACGCUGAGGCUCGAAAGCGUGGGGAGCAAACAGGAUUAGAUACCCUGGUAGUCCACGCCGUAAACGAUGAUUGCUAGUUGUCGGGAAGCUUGCUUCUCGGUGACGCAGCUAA